Molecule: ribosomal RNA, 221 nt
Filed under: uncultured bacterium
Lineage: Bacteria
Description: partial 16S ribosomal RNA
Rfam family: Bacterial small subunit ribosomal RNA
Source: RNAcentral
CGGGUGAGUAACACGUGGGUACCUACCCCAAGAUGAGGAAUACCACCGAGAAAUCGGUGACAAGACCACAUACGCUCGGCAACGAGCAAAGCCUCGUCAGAGGCGUCUUAGGAUGGGCCUGCGCCUGAUUAGCUAGUUGGUGGGGUAAAAGCCUACCAAGGCGUCGAUCAGUAGCUGGUCUGAGAGGAUGAUCAGCCACACUGGGAUUGAGAACGGCCCAG